This 301-nucleotide ribosomal RNA is filed under the name uncultured bacterium. RNAcentral describes it as "partial 16S ribosomal RNA". It matches the Rfam family "Bacterial small subunit ribosomal RNA", at positions 509 to 807 of the family's 1533-position model. The record is from RNAcentral.
CAGCAGCCGCGGGAAAACGAAGGGGGCUAGCGUUACUCGGAAUUACUGGGCGUAAAGGGCGCGUAGGCGGCACGAUUAGUCAGGCGUGAAGUUCCUGGGCUCAACCUGGGGACUGCGCUUGAUACGGUCGAGCUAGAGGAUGGAAGAGGGUUGUGGAAUUCCCAGUGUAGAGGUGAAAUUCGUAGAUAUUGGGAAGAACACCGGUGGCUAAGGCGGCAACCUGGUCCAUUACUGACGCUGAGGCGCGACAGCGUGGGGAGCAAACAGGAUUAGAUACCCCCGUAGUCCCUGUCUCUUAUAC